UAAAAAAUAAAAUGUAUUCCAAUCAUUAUUUAUAAUAACUUUAUUCAUUAAACUUGUGUGAAACAUAAUAAUAGCAAUUAUAUGCAGAGUGAUAUUUGAUACAGCCAGUCUGUUAAUCAAGCCCAUUCUGAUAAGGUUGACCAUGUGUUCGACAAAUUUCAAAGAUAGUUGCUAUGGUAAUUAAGUUUAUAGGAAAUCUGAAUGUAAUGGGAUGGUCACUUUUGUGAUUAUUUCCUGUUGUGUAUUUGUAAGAAAGCAGUGAUACGAAGAAAACAAAAAGAGAAAAUCAUGUCAUCUGGGAUUCAAAGAGAAAGAUAGUAACAUAUUCGGUUAGAAAAAAAACAUAGCUGCAAAGAGUCUUCGGAUAAGGAGAUGGAUGAUGCAGCUAAAGAUUGGCGGCGCUUAAGCCUUGACAGAGAAGGUAGCAAGAAACAGAGAAGGGAAAAACGAAUAACAUAUAUAAAUAAUAAUGACACUGUUGAAGUUUAAAUUGAGGAGGACACUACUCGUGGUGACGACCAAUGAUAUCAAAUUUAAAAUAAAUAAAGUUUCAUCUUC
Molecule: long non-coding RNA, 558 nt
Organism: Mytilus trossulus (common blue mussel)
Lineage: Eukaryota; Metazoa; Mollusca; Bivalvia; Mytilida; Mytilidae
Exons: 2
Source: RefSeq, a predicted model, not a curated record